AAAAGUAAAUCCACAGCCACAAGCGUGAAAGGGCAAUGAGCCUUAUAAUGGUGAAAGUUGUUAAUUGAAAUAUAUUUGGCUUUCCAUGGUCCAGAUUGUGCAGUUAAGACUGGAGAUUUCAGAAAGCAAACGACAGUGAACAGCCCACAGUUCUUAAGUCAAACAGGAACUUCAGAAACCGUGUAACUACAUGCCAUGGUUGAGCGACAGUGACAGUGUGUGUAAGGGUCGAGGGGGUUGCUGGAGUCUAUCCCAGCAUGCAUUGUGUGAGAGUCAGGAAGAGGCAGUGGUAUGGAGCGGAAUAUUCAUCACGCCUGCUGAGUUGCUUUGUGUACAAGAAGUAUCAUGGCUGAAGACAGGGUGAUUAUACAACAGGGGGUCACAAUGCAGUCCUGGAGGGCCACAGUGUCUGC
Long non-coding RNA from Anguilla rostrata (American eel), 413 nucleotides. RefSeq lists it as uncharacterized. NCBI's taxonomy places the organism in Eukaryota, Metazoa, Chordata, Actinopteri, Anguilliformes, Anguillidae. The record is from RefSeq and is a predicted model, not a curated record. The transcript has 4 exons.